RNAcentral lists this ribosomal RNA (492 nucleotides) under uncultured bacterium. Its description in RNAcentral is "partial 16S ribosomal RNA". It matches the Rfam family "Bacterial small subunit ribosomal RNA", at positions 29 to 507 of the family's 1533-position model. The record is from RNAcentral.
AGUGAACGCUGGCGGUAGGCCUAACACAUGCAAGUCGAACGGCAGCACAGUAAGAGCUUGCUCUUACGGGUGGCGAGUGGCGGACGGGUGAGGAAUACAUCGGAAUCUACUUUUUCGUGGGGGAUAACGUAGGGAAACUUACGCUAAUACCGCAUACGACAUACGGGUGAAAGCAGGGGAUCUUCGGACCUUGCGCGACAGAAUGAGCCGAUGUCGGAUUAGCUAGUUGGCGGGGUAAAGGCCCACCAAGGCGACGAUCCGUAGCUGGUCUGAGAGGAUGAUCAGCCACACUGGAACUGAGACACGGUCCAGACUCCUACGGGAGGCAGCAGUGGGGAAUAUUGGACAAUGGGCGCAAGCCUGAUCCAGCCAUACCGCGUGGGUGAAGAAGGCCUUCGGGUUGUAAAGCCCUUUUGUUGGGAAAGAAAAGCAGCAGGUUAAUACCCCGCUGUUCUGACGGUACCCAAAGAAUAAGCACCGGCUAACUUCGUG